GGGACAACCCGCCGAAAGGCGGGCUAAACCCGCGUACAUGCCACCGGGGCAUCCCGGAGGCAGGAAAGGCUUCGGCCGGACAGGGAUGGGCAUGCGGCGCAUUAGGCAGUAGGCGGGGUAACGGCCCACCUAACCGACGAUGCGUAGGGGUUCUGAGAGGAAGGUCCCCCACACUGGUACUGAGACACGGACCAGACUCCUACGGGAGGCAGCAGUGAGGAAUAUUGGUCAAUGGUCGGGAGACUGAACCAGCCAAGCCGCGUGAGGGAUGAAGGUACAGAGUAUCGUAAACCUCUUUUGUCAGGGAACAAAGGCGGGGACGUGUCCCCGGAUGAGUGUACCUGAAGAAAAAGCAUCGGCUAACUCCGUGCCAGCAGCCGCGGUAGUACGGAGGAUGCGAGCGUUAUCCGGAUUUAUUGGGUUUAAAGGGUGCGCAGGCGGUCUGUUAAGUCAGCGGUCAAAGCCCGGGGCUCAACCCCGGCCCGCCGUUGAAACUGGCAGUCUCGAGUUGGAGAGAAGUAUGCGGAAUGCGCGGUGUAGCGGUGAAAUGCAUAGAUAUCACGCAGAACUCCGAUUGCGAAGGCAGCAUGCCGGCUCCACACUGACGCUGAGGCACGAAAGCGUGGGUAUCGAACAGGAUUAGAUACCCUGGUAGUCCACGCAGUAAAC
RNAcentral lists this ribosomal RNA (669 nucleotides) under uncultured bacterium. RNAcentral describes it as "bacterial SSU rRNA". It matches the Rfam family "Bacterial small subunit ribosomal RNA", at positions 140 to 807 of the family's 1533-position model. The record is from RNAcentral.